ACGUAGGCAGCAAGCGUUGUUCGGAAUUACUGGGCGUAAAGAGCGUGUAGGCGGUGCUCCAAAUCUGGUGUGAAAUCUCCCGGCUUAACUGGGAGGGUGCAUUAGAAACUGGAAUGCUAGAGGAUGGGAGAGGUAAGCGGAAUUCCUGGUGUAGCGGUGAAAUGCGUAGAUAUCAGGAGGAACACCGGUGGCGAAGGCGGAUCUCCGGGCCGUAACUGACGCUGAGGAGCGAAAGCAUGGGGAGCGAACAGGA
This 253-nucleotide ribosomal RNA is filed under the name uncultured prokaryote. Its description in RNAcentral is "partial 16S ribosomal RNA". It matches the Rfam family "Bacterial small subunit ribosomal RNA", at positions 525 to 777 of the family's 1533-position model. The record is from RNAcentral.